RNAcentral lists this unclassified non-coding RNA (216 nucleotides) under uncultured Tomentella. Its description in RNAcentral is "sequence contains ITS2". The record is from RNAcentral. Lineage: Eukaryota; Fungi; Basidiomycota; Agaricomycetes; Thelephorales; Thelephoraceae.
ACACAUCAACUCUCAUGGCUUGCCGUGACGAGCUUGGACUUUGGAGGUCUUGCUGGCCUGUGGCCGGCUCCUCUCAAAUGAAUUAGCCUGCCGGUGUUUGGUGGGAUCACAGGUGUGAUAACUAUCUACGCUUGUGGUUUUUCACCAGGUAACCUCCAGUGAUGGAGGUUCGCUGGAGCUCACAAACGUCUCUCCUUGUGAGGACAAUUUCUGAAC